Long non-coding RNA from Lathyrus oleraceus (garden pea), 312 nucleotides. RefSeq lists it as uncharacterized. The transcript has 3 exons. NCBI's taxonomy places the organism in Eukaryota, Viridiplantae, Streptophyta, Magnoliopsida, Fabales, Fabaceae. The record is from RefSeq and is a predicted model, not a curated record.
GUUCAUGAUAUACCACAAUAUCAUUUUGAUUUUAUUUCUUUCUUUGAAAUUUUGAGUGCUGCUAAGGAAGAAACUUUACUUGAUAUCAUUGGACAUGUUGUUGAAAGGGAUGUUGUGAAAGAGACAGAUAAAAAUGGAAAAAAAGAAUAAGGUUAUGGAUGUAACUGUUGAGGAUUUAGAGAGGAUUAGGAUUCAUUGCAUUUUGUGGGAUGAUUUUGCAGAGGCUAUGCAUCAAUUUAUGGAGAGCUAUCAAUCAUCCGAGCCAGUUGUCGUGUUACUUCAACUUUGCAAGUUAAAAAAAUAUUUUGGUUA